RNAcentral lists this ribosomal RNA (848 nucleotides) under uncultured bacterium. RNAcentral's name for it is "bacterial SSU rRNA". It matches the Rfam family "Bacterial small subunit ribosomal RNA", at positions 57 to 921 of the family's 1533-position model. The record is from RNAcentral.
GCAGUCGACGAUGAACCACUUCGGUGGGGAUUAGUGGCGAACGGGUGAGUAACACGUGGGCAAUCUGCCCUGCACUCUGGGACAAGCCCUGGAAACGGGGUCUAAUACCGGAUACUGAUCCUCGCAGGCAUCUGCGAGGUUCGAAAGCUCCGGCGGUGCAGGAUGAGCCCGCGGCCUAUCAGCUAGUUGGUGAGGUAACGGCUCACCAAGGCGACGACGGGUAGCCGGCCUGAGAGGGCGACCAGCCACACUGGGACUGAGACACGGCUCAGACUCCUACGGGAGGCAGCAGUGGGGAAUAUUGCACAAUGGGCGAAAGCCUGAUGCAGCGACGCCGCGUGAGGGAUGACGGCCUUCGGGUUGUAAACCUCUUUCAGCAGGGAAGAAGCGAAAGUGACGGUACCUGCAGAAGAAGCGCCGGCUAACUACGUGCCAGCAGCCGCGGUAAUACGUAGGGCGCAAGCGUUGUCCGGAAUUAUUGGGCGUAAAGAGCUCGUAGGCGGCUUGUCACGUCGGUUGUGAAAGCCCGGGGCUUAACCCCGGGUCUGCAGUCGAUACGGGCAGGCUAGAGUUCGGUAGGGGAGAUCGGAAUUCCUGGUGUAGCGGUGAAAUGCGCAGAUAUCAGGAGGAACACCGGUGGCGAAGGCGGAUCUCUGGGCCGAUACUGACGCUGAGGAGCGAAAGCGUGGGGAGCGAACAGGAUUAGAUACCCUGGUAGUCCACGCCGUAAACGGUGGGCACUAGGUGUGGGCAACAUUCCACGUUGUCCGUGCCGCAGCUAACGCAUUAAGUGCCCCGCCUGGGGAGUACGGCCGCAAGGCUAAAACUCAAAGGAAUUGACGGGGGCC